Molecule: ribosomal RNA, 490 nt
Filed under: uncultured bacterium
Lineage: Bacteria
Description: partial 16S ribosomal RNA
Rfam family: Bacterial small subunit ribosomal RNA
Source: RNAcentral
AUUGAACGCUGGCGGCAGGCCUAACACAUGCAAGUCGAACGGUAACAGGAAGAAGCUUGCUUCUUUGCUGACGAGUGGCGGACGGGUGAGUAAUGUCUGGGAAACUGCCUGAUGGAGGGGGAUAACUACUGGAAACGGUAGCUAAUACCGCAUAACGUCGCAAGACCAAAGAGGGGGACCUUCGGGCCUCUUGCCAUCGGAUGUGCCCAGAUGGGAUUAGCUAGUAGGUGGGGUAACGGCUCACCUAGGCGACGAUCCCUAGCUGGUCUGAGAGGAUGACCAGCCACACUGGAACUGAGACACGGUCCAGACUCCUACGGGAGGCAGCAGUGGGGAAUAUUGCACAAUGGGCGCAAGCCUGAUGCAGCCAUGCCGCGUGUAUGAAGAAGGCCUUCGGGUUGUAAAGUACUUUCAGCGGGGAGGAAGGGAGUAAGGUUAAUACCUUUGCUCAUUGACGUUACCCGCAGAAGAAGCACCGGCUAACUCCGUG